Small nuclear RNA from Otolemur garnettii (small-eared galago), 147 nucleotides. Its record names the gene U4. It matches the Rfam family "U4 spliceosomal RNA". Rfam says of the family: U4 small nuclear RNA (U4 snRNA) is a component of the major U2-dependent spliceosome. The structure of U4 snRNA from yeast and human has been reported. NCBI's taxonomy places the organism in Eukaryota, Metazoa, Chordata, Mammalia, Primates, Galagidae. The record is from Ensembl.
UUCAAAGGGCAUACAGUCAAGUUUGCAAAGUUUAUCUGAGGUUUAUCUGAGGUGCAGUUAUUACUAAUAGAAAACUUUUCCCAAUACCCUGCCAUGAUGACUUGAAAUAUAGUUAGCACUGGCAAUUUCUGACAAUCUCUACAGAGA